UACAGAGGUCUCAACCGUUGUUCGGAUUCAUUGGGCGUAAAGGGUGCGUAGGCGGUCGUGCAAGUCGGAUGUGAAAUCUCAGGGCUCAACCCUGAAACUGCAUUCGAUACUGCGUGGCUAGAGUGCUGGAGAGGAGACUGGAAUUUACGGUGUAGCAGUGAAAUGCGUAGAUAUCGUAAGGAAGACCAGUGGCGAAGGCGGGUCUCUGGACAGUUCCUGACACUGAGGAGCGAAAGCGUGGGGAGCGAACAGG
Molecule: ribosomal RNA, 253 nt
Filed under: uncultured bacterium
Lineage: Bacteria
Description: partial 16S ribosomal RNA
Rfam family: Bacterial small subunit ribosomal RNA
Source: RNAcentral